This 354-nucleotide ribosomal RNA is filed under the name uncultured bacterium. RNAcentral describes it as "bacterial SSU rRNA". It matches the Rfam family "Bacterial small subunit ribosomal RNA", at positions 527 to 881 of the family's 1533-position model. The record is from RNAcentral.
GUAGGUGGCAAGCGUUGUCCGGAAUUACUGGGUGUAAAGGGAGCGCAGGCGGGUGAUCAAGUCAGCUGUGAAAACUACGGGCUUAACCCGUAGACUGCAGUUGAAACUGUUCAUCUUGAGUGAAGUAGAGGUUGGCGGAAUUCCGAGUGUAGCGGUGAAAUGCGUAGAUAUUCGGAGGAACACCGGUGGCGAAGGCGGCCAACUGGGCUUUAACUGACGCUGAGGCUCGAAAGUGUGGGGAGCAAACAGGAUUAGAUACCCUGGUAGUCCACGCCGUAAACGAUGAAUGCCAGCCGUUAGUGGGUUUACUCACUAGUGGCGCAGCUAACGCUUUAAGCAUUCCGCCUGGGGAGU